UCUCAUAGCAUGCAGACCGUCCGCCCUAGGUCUCAGACCGUCCGCCCUUAGGUCUCGGACCAUCCGCCUAUAGUCCGCAGAAUAAUCAGAGACUAUGCAGUCUUCAAGGUGUUUGUGUUGAGGUUUUGGCUUGGUUGCUUCUUGAGGAUCCCACUGUGUCCAUUGGUCUUUACCAUAGGCAUCCAGUCUCCUAGUUGGCUCGUGGAUCUCCCCUUUUCCGAUUGGAACAGAGGCCUAAGUUUUUGAAAGAAAUUUUAGAGGCUCCCAUCCACCCCUCCCCCUGUGGUCGCCGUUUCGAUCCUUCACUUGUAUAGACGCAUGUUCACACGACAUUGAAAACACCUUAAGUUGACUCUGAAUUAGACACCCUUUAAAACAUCCAGAGCAUCUGGACACGCUUUAAAGUGUAUCAUAC
Molecule: long non-coding RNA, 415 nt
Filed under: Setaria viridis
Lineage: Eukaryota; Viridiplantae; Streptophyta; Magnoliopsida; Poales; Poaceae
Description: long non-coding RNA (SVIR_LNC006592)
Source: RNAcentral